GAGGGUAUAGCUCAGCGGGAGAGUGUGUGCUUAGCACACGCGAGGUCCUGGGUUCAAGCCCCAGUACCUCCA
RNAcentral lists this transfer RNA (72 nucleotides) under Camelus bactrianus (Bactrian camel). It matches the Rfam family "tRNA". Rfam says of the family: Transfer RNA (tRNA) molecules are approximately 80 nucleotides in length. RNAcentral also lists the same sequence under 2 other names. The record is from Rfam by way of RNAcentral. Lineage: Eukaryota; Metazoa; Chordata; Mammalia; Artiodactyla; Camelidae.